AGUGAACGCUGGCGGCAGGCCUAACACAUGCAAGUCGAGCGGCAGCGCGGGGGCAACCCUGGCGGCGAGCGGCGGACGGGUGAGGAAUUCGUCGGAAUCUGCCUUUUUGUGGGGGAUAACGUAGGGAAACUUACGCUAAUACCGCAUACGUCCUACGGGAGAAAGUGGGUGACCGCAAGGCCUCACGCAGACAGAUGAGCCGACGACAGAUUAGCUAGUUGGUGGGGUAAAGGCCCACCAAGGCGACGAUCGGUAGCUGGUCUGAGAGGAUGAUCAGCCACACUGGGACUGAGACACGGCCCAGACUCCUACGGGAGGCAGCAGUGGGGAAUAUUGGACAAUGGGCGCAAGCCUGAUCCAGCCAUGCCGCGUGUGUGAAGAAGGCCUUCGGGUUGUAAAGCACUUUUGUCCGGAAAGAAAUCCCUGGAGCUAAUACCUUCGGGGGAUGACGGUACCGGAAGAAUAAGCACCGGCUAACUUCGUG
Molecule: ribosomal RNA, 484 nt
Filed under: uncultured bacterium
Lineage: Bacteria
Description: partial 16S ribosomal RNA
Rfam family: Bacterial small subunit ribosomal RNA
Source: RNAcentral